CGCUGGCGGCGUGCCUAAUACAUGCAAGUCGAACGGUCUUUCUAUGGAAGCUUGCUUCCACUGAGAAGAUAGUGGCGAACGGGUGAGUAACACGUGGGUAACCUGCCCAUAAGAGGGGGAUAACAUCCGGAAACGGGUGCUAAUACCGCAUAGUUUUCUUGAUCGCAUGAUCGGGAAAGGAAAGACGGCCUUUGUGCUGUCGCUUAUGGAUGGACCCGCGGCGUAUUAGUUAGUUGGUGAGGUAACGGCUCACCAAGACGAUGAUACGUAGCCGACCUGAGAGGGUGAUCGGCCACAUUGGGACUGAGACACGGCCCAAACUCCUACGGGAGGCAGCAGUAGGGAAUCUUCCGCAAUGGACGAAAGUCUGACGGAGCAACGCCGCGUGAGUGAAGAAGGUUUUCGGGAAUCGUAAAACUCUGUUGUCAGAGAAGAACAAGUUGGAGAGUAACUGCUCCAGCCUUGACGGUAUCUGACCAGAAAGCCACGGCUAACUACGUGCCAGCAGCUGC
This 512-nucleotide ribosomal RNA is filed under the name uncultured bacterium. RNAcentral's name for it is "bacterial SSU rRNA". It matches the Rfam family "Bacterial small subunit ribosomal RNA", at positions 34 to 518 of the family's 1533-position model. The record is from RNAcentral.